This 253-nucleotide ribosomal RNA is filed under the name uncultured bacterium. RNAcentral describes it as "partial 16S ribosomal RNA". It matches the Rfam family "Bacterial small subunit ribosomal RNA", at positions 524 to 776 of the family's 1533-position model. The record is from RNAcentral.
UACGUAGGGGGCAAGCGUUGUCCGGAAUCAUUGGGCGUAAAGAGCGUGUAGGCGGCUUGGCAAGUCUGACGUGAAAUCCCGCGGCUCAACCGCGGUCGGUCGUUGGAAACUGCCUGGCUAGAGUCCGGAAGAGGAGAGUGGAAUUCCUGGUGUAGCGGUGGAAUGCGCAGAUAUCAGGAGGAACACCGGUGGCGAAGGCGGGUCUCUGGGCAACAACUGACGCUGAGGAGCGAAAGCGUGGGGAGCGAACAGG